AAAAAUUUAGUUAAAAUAUAACACUAACUUGUCAAGUUAGAAUUAUUUAUAAAAUUUAAUAAUUUUUA
RNAcentral lists this transfer RNA (68 nucleotides) under Byturus ochraceus. Its description in RNAcentral is "tRNA-Asp". The record is from RNAcentral. Lineage: Eukaryota; Metazoa; Arthropoda; Insecta; Coleoptera; Byturidae.